This is a long non-coding RNA of Centropristis striata (black sea bass), 560 nucleotides long. RefSeq lists it as uncharacterized. Lineage: Eukaryota; Metazoa; Chordata; Actinopteri; Perciformes; Serranidae. The transcript is spliced from 3 exons. The record is from RefSeq and is a predicted model, not a curated record.
CGUCCAAAAUUGCCUUCUCGACUGCUGCGUUCAAGUAACUCGAAACGCUGGGAAAAGGGAGAUUCGAGUUGUUAAGCGUUAAAUUAAGUGAAUCAGGGUUAUCUGUUCUUGGUAAUUCUUUAGUUAACAUUAGCUGAGAGUUUAUGCAAGUGAACUGCAAUGCAGUUGAAUGUAUUCACAGCCAUAAACGAGAUAUUGAAUUUAAGAAGCCAGAAACCCCGAGUUCCGAUUAGCCGUGAACGCAGCACAGGACACCACGAGGACGACAGCAAAGAGAGACCAGGAGACGCACCUGUAGGCAGUUUCAGAGAGAAAGACGGUUUUAAGAGGCGAAACUUUUAACAAACUCGAAGCCACGAUGAACACUAGAAGGGGAGCUUUGAAUCCUGUGCCACCAAAGGUCAGCAAGGCUUCCACUCCUGCUGAGGAGAAAGAGCAAAUUGCUCCUACAAUCAAACAUGAGUUGGCCAUGGUCAAACUUCAGCUGGAAGCUGAGAGAGAGCGAGGAAGACUCCGAGAAGAAACCAUAGCAAUGCUGAAGUCCGACAAAGAUUAUUUGC